This 866-nucleotide ribosomal RNA is filed under the name uncultured bacterium. Its description in RNAcentral is "bacterial SSU rRNA". It matches the Rfam family "Bacterial small subunit ribosomal RNA", at positions 8 to 898 of the family's 1533-position model. The record is from RNAcentral.
AGAGGUUGAUNCUGGCUCAGGACGAACGCUGGCGGCGUGCUUAACACAUGCAAGUCGAACGGGUCCGUAGCAAUACAGAUCUAGUGGCGAACGGGUGCGUAACACGUGAGGAACUUGUCCCGGUCUCUGGGAUAACAGUUGGAAACGACUGCUAAUACCGGAUGACGUCGGAGCGUCGCAUGGCGCGCUGACGAAAGGGUUACCGGAUCGGGAGAGCCUCGCGGCCUAUCAGCUAGUUGGUGGGGUAAUGGCCUACCAAGGCAUCGACGGGUAGCUGGUCUGAGAGGAUGAUCAGCCACACUGGGACUGAGACACGGCCCAGACUCCUACGGGAGGCAGCAGUGGGGAAUCUUGCGCAAUGGGCGAAAGCCUGACGCAGCAACGCCGCGUGCGGGAAGAAGGCUCUCGGGUUGUAAACCGCUUUCAGCAGGAACGAAAAUGACGGUACCUGCAGAAGAAGGUGCGGCCAACUACGUGCCAGCAGCCGCGGUGACACGUAGGCACCAAGCGUUGUCCGGAUUUAUUGGGCGUAAAGAGCUCGUAGGCGGUUCGGUAAGUCAGGUGUGAAAACUUUGGGCUUAACCCAAAGCGUCAUCUGAUACUGCCGGACUAGAGUUCGGUAGGGGAGUGGGGAAUUCCUAGUGUAGCGGUGAAAUGCGCAGAUAUUAGGAGGAACACCGGUGGCGAAGGCGCCACUCUGGGCCGAAACUGACGCUGAGGAGCGAAAGCGUGGGUAGCAAACAGGAUUAGAUACCCUGGUAGUCCACGCCGUAAACGUUGGGCACUAGGUGUGGGUUUCACCAAGAAUCCGCGCCGUCGCUAACGCAUUAAGUGCCCCGCCUGGGGAGUACGGCCGCAAGGUUAAA